This 547-nucleotide ribosomal RNA is filed under the name Aureobasidium proteae. Its description in RNAcentral is "partial 26S ribosomal RNA". The record is from RNAcentral. Lineage: Eukaryota; Fungi; Ascomycota; Dothideomycetes; Dothideales; Saccotheciaceae.
UACAACCAUUACGCCAGCAUCCUAGCCGAAGCGCGGACCUCAGUCCCGGCUGGCCGUAUUACACCCUGGGCUAUAACACCUCCACCGAAGUGGAGGCCACAUUCCCAGAGCCUUUAUCCGGCCGCCGAAACUGAUGCUGGCCUGUCCAAACUGAGUAAACCGGUCAGAAGACCGGCCGAACAGUUUAAACAAGUCUGAUUGCAAGCGCUUCCCUUUCAACAAUUUCACGUGCUUUUUAACUCUCUUUCCAAAGUGCUUUUCAUCUUUCGAUCACUCUACUUGUGCGCUAUCGGUCUCUCGCCAAUAUUUAGCUUUAGAAGAAAUUUACCUCCCAUUUAGAGCUGCAUUCCCAAACAACUCGACUCGUCGAAGGAGAUUUACAUAGGGUGCCAUUUCCUGUCACAUACGGGAUUCUCACCCUCUAUGACGUCCUGUUCCAAGGAACUUAGACAGGCGGCUUCCCCAAAUCAUCCUCUACAAAUUACAAUGCGAACCCGAAGGCUAGCUUUCAAAUUUGAGCUGUUGCCGCUUCACUCGCCGUUACUAG